This 13735-nucleotide long non-coding RNA is filed under the name Malus domestica (apple). RNAcentral's name for it is "long non-coding RNA (MDOM_LNC005404)". The record is from RNAcentral. Lineage: Eukaryota; Viridiplantae; Streptophyta; Magnoliopsida; Rosales; Rosaceae.
UAAUGUCCGGAGUGAAUGCAAUUCCAUUACAGCGCGAUUAAUCAUUAAUGUCGGUCAGUGCGAAUACAAUCACAAGUUGCUGCUCAUUGUUGAACCAAUUUUUUGUUUUUUGUGAAAAGUGAAAAGCAGGCCGUGCUUUGGUGGGGUAUGGCUGGAGUUUGGUUUUUAUUCUAUCCGGCAUUUCCAUCAAUUUUGAUAGAUUUACAAUCUAUUAAAUUUCAGCUUCUUAGAAAUUGAUUCAUUGGAAACUUUAAACAUGAUUUGCAUUAUAAAAUCAAGGGUUCUUUAGAUAUAGACUUUUACAACUCUUAUUUCUUAGACAAAAAUCUACCUAGUUAUAAACAUCCAAAUAAAACCCAAAUUUAAAAACAACUGCUAAGUAUAGAAAUAAUUGACCUAUUAUUACAAAAUAUUUACAAUUUGUACCACAAUAUUCAAAAUAAAAUCAAUAAAUAUUAUUACUCACCUUAUUGAAAAUAUAAUUAUUGCACAUAUUAUUACCCCUAACACACACAUAUAUAGUUUACGUAUAUAUAAAAUACUAUUAUACGUUCACACACACACACACACACACAUAUAUAUAUAUACACAUAUACAUGCAUAGUACUACAUAUAUGAUCAAACAUAUUAAACUAUUUAAUCUGCCUAUAUUUAAAUUUAUGAUAAGCAAAUAACAUAUAUUUUGUAGGUAAAUUAAUAUUGAAUCAAAUAACAUUCUUUUAUUUUGUAGGUAUUUAUUUUCCAUGUAUUAUUACAUAUAUUUGGCACAUUUUAUUAUUAUAAGAUAUAUGUACUAAUAAUAGGUAAAUUAAUUUUUAAUAAAGUACAAUUGCUUUAUUUUGUAAGUAAAUUAAUUUUGAAUCAAAUAACAUUUCUUCAUUAUGUAGGUACAUCUUAUAUACCUACAUAAGGACUCGUUUGAUAACUGCAGUGGGCGUACCAUACAAUUACAUUUAUUCGGCACAUUUUAAUAGGUAAAUUAAAAUUAAGCACAUUUUAUUAUUACAUGUACAAAUAAUAGGUAAACUAGUAUUGAAUAAAAUAAUAACAUUUUUUUAUGUAGGUAUAUUAUUUUGCAUAUAUUUGGGUUUGCUUUAUUAUGUAGGUAAAUUAUUUUGCAUGAAUUUUUAUGUAUAUCAGGCAUGUUUUUUGUUGUUAUAUAUAUAUAUAUGUGUGUGUGUGUGUGUGUGAAAUAAUUUACCUACAUUUAUAUGUAAAAUAUAAUUUUAUUGACUUAACUAAGCAUGUAUUACUACAUUUAUUAGGCAUGUUUUAUUGUUAUUAUAUAUUAUGCAAUGAAUUUAUUAUUAUUUUUUUUUGUAAAAUCAUUAAUUCUCCCUUACAAUUUGUAUGAAUUAAUUGUUUAUAUCAAACAUUCAAAUAGGGGUGUUUUGGGCAUCAAAAAAUUUUAAAUGUGUAAAGUCAAAUAUAAUUAAUAAAUUUGUUGAUGUGGAAUCUAGUCAAUGAGUUUUAUUUUAGUAAAAAACUUAUGUCGUAUUUUAUGUGGAGAAAAUUAAGUUUUAGAGACUAAAGUCAUAUUUUAAGUAAAAUCAAUUGGUACCUUUAGGUGCAGGAGGAGGAAGAGCCUUCGGUGCAGGCGCCGGUUCUGAGGUGGCGUUUUGGAGGUAAAAGGGAUAAAUUUCAAACCUAACGUUACAGCUCGGCAUCAAAACUCGUCCCCCUUUCCUUCCUUCACAACAGCUCCGCAAUCUCGAGACGGCAAGCUUUAAACACCGGUUGCAAUCCACUUCAGACAGAUCCCAUGUGCACUGUGCGACGCUGUACACAGAAAGAAACCUACUAAUAUUUGCCUGUUUCAUUGCAAACUUGUUGGCAGUAUUAGUAGCCUCGGUGACCACCUCGUUCAUACUUUUCCCCAGAACCUGGUUGAACCGAUUCCAUUCGGUUGCGUUCUGCUCGUUCCACGCGGAGAUGGACGGCGAUUCGUACAAGGUGGAUAAGGACUCGUUUGAGUAGCGUAGCAUGCAGUGGGCGUACCAUACAAUUACAUUUAUUCGGUAGGCACAGCGUUGUGCUGCCAUUAUGCUUGCAGCAGUCACGCAAUCUUUGCAAACGUCGGUAGAGACAUAUCCUUGGCAGAGAAAGAGGCCGUAGGCUUUUUCCGUAGAAUUUAAGCCCGCCGUGGUGUUGUAAAAGCCGGUGUCAGGGGCAGCGGGAGAGAUAAGGGUGUUGAGGACUUCGUUGAGAUUGGAUUGGAAGCUCUCGUGGAAGGUGGGAAAGUACCAGCCAGUGUUGGAGGUGAAAGUGGUUGUGUUAUUUGGGCAGCUAAUGGCUAGAAAUUGACCAGUUUCAUUACUGGUGAUCAAACUGAGCAAGCUAAGCAUGGAGACAAACAACAAAAGGAUCAUGGACAUCUUCAUCAGCAUCCCGCCUUGCUCUUGAUUAAUUAAGAUUUUAAAUAUCAGUUUUUUAUGAAAAUAUCGAUAUUACUAUUUACGAAAACAACGACGGAUAAUCGUUAUAUAUAUGCUUUCGGUGAAGAUGAAAAUUGCAAAAGUCUUUGACUCAGACGACACCUGGUCGUUGGCCCUAAGUGAACGGCGGUGUUGUACAAGGGGGGACCACAAAGUAAAAUUUCCUAGCUAGCUCUUGUUUUCUCUUUUUAUGCAUAGAAAUGUCAAAAUAAAAAAGUCGCUCGGGUGAAAAGAUAAACAUUAUAAUAACUUAUAAGAGGUUAAGGUAUAUUUUAUAUUGUUAAUUGAUUUUAUGAUAGAUAUGUCAUUAAAUUCCCUCUGUUGAAGAGUUUCCCACUGUUGUUCCUGUGUUGAAAAGCAUCACACUCUUGUGUUGUGACCAACGAUGUUGAUUAAAUUCCCAGUGUUGAAAAGUAUCACACUCUUGAGUUGUGAUCAACUGCGUUGGAAAGAAAUACAAAAUUUAUAGUUCUAACAAAAAACAAAGAACGAAAGCAAGAAAAGAUACAGUUAACUAACAUUUUGUCUAUCUGAGUUGCCACAAACACUCUUAGGCCUGUUUACCAAAAAAAAAAAAAAAACACUCUCUUAGGCCUUAUUUUUUUGUCGGAUUAGAUCAAAAAUAUGUGUCCAAUUCCUAUCCAAAAAGUUUUGGAAACACGUAUCAUUUCCAAUUUCGAAAUCGGAAUUUCAACUUUUCAUAAACUCAUUCUGAAUUUGGUAUUUUCGGAAUCGGAUUAUUUUAGAAUUUUAAAAUUUUAAAAUUAUGGGAGUUGUAUGACUUCAUCUAUACCAAGAUAAAAAAUAGAAAAUUUUCUAAAAAUGACCAAUUUUCUUAAUCUUAAGAUUGAAAUAGGACAAACUUAAUAUGCACAGAGUAUGCACACGCCAUGCACAAACAAUAGGAAGAUUUUUUUCUACAACUGAAAAUGACUAAUUGCCUUCCUAUAUAAAUGGGUUAUUUCCUCCCAUUUUCUGAUUUCUCUCUCUCUACUCUCUCUCGGAAGAACCCUAACGAUGCACUCACCCUUUAACAACCCACUUUACCGGCAGUAACCCUUUCUCUCUCACCGAUGGCUAUCCUUUCACCAGUCCCCUCUCUCCUAUCCUUUCGAACUAGUAACCCAAGAUUCAGAUCGCAUCUAACUUUUGGAUGGCAGUACAAUUCCCAACUCAAAAUUCCAAAAUCUUGUUGUGUAAUGAAUAAUAAUUCAUCCACCAAAGCUCUUGUGAAUGUCGCAGGUGAAGAGUGCACUUCCAAACUCAUGACCUUCUUGCCAAUUUCUUUUAACUUUUUAGUUUCAAGGCGCGAUGGGAUUGGAUGAAUCAACAUGAGCCAAAGCCCACAACAAGUGAUGCGGGUUUCUUUACGAUAUUUGGGAAAUAAAUUUUUUAAGGUUUGUUUAUGGGUUUUGAUUUAAAGUUUCUUGGCUUUGCCUGUAUUUUGUGAGUUCCUAUGUUCAAUGGCUGAAGUCAAAUAUUUCUUGGCUUUGCCUUCCAUUUUCUAGAAAACUGUACACUGUAUGCACACGAGUUGCACAUGAUAUGCACAUGAUACGCUCACAGAUCUGAGCUCAACCUAAAAACCCAGAGCUCAUAGCUCUCACUUUGAAAUCAGAAAAAUGACGUCAUCACUUGUGAAUUUUUACAUUUUAUAUGUGGGUAUUUUCAUUAUUUCACUUUUGUGCAUGGUGUGCAUGGCUGAUUUGUCCUAUUUCAGUCUUAAGAUUAAGAAAAUGGGUCAUGUUGAUGCACAAAAUUAGUGAGGACUUUGGUACAACAUAAAGUGUUAAGUUUGUGACCUUCGCUAGAUUGCUCCGGUCACUAGUGUGGAUAAGUAUGUAAAUGGAUAGAGACAGGGAAGCAAACACAAGAUGUACGUGGUUCACCCAGAUUGGCUACGUCCACGGAGUAGAGGAGUUCUCAUUAAUUGUGAAAGGUUUACACAAGUACAUAGGUUCAAGCUCUCCUUUAGUGAGUACUAGUGAAUGAUUUAGUACAAAUGACAUUAGGAAAUAUUGUGGGAGAAUGAUCUCCUUUUAUAAAAGAGAGUUUCUAGCCUUGUUCUAACAUUGACACGUGUUGUGUUGUGAUUGGCUUCCGAUGUUGACACGUGUCGCGCUAUGAUUGGCUUCUGAUGUCGACACGUGUCGCUCUGUGAUUGGCCUCCUAGUUGGAGGGAAACUCUUCUAGAUCCUUGACGGUAUAACGUUGACCGGUGCUCGGUAGUUUCGGGAUUUGUCAAGUAUGAUACAAACAGGUCAUUUUUGGCAAUUUCCCUAAAAGAUAUGUCAUCUCCGAUUUUAGUUCUCAAAUACUCAUUUUUUUCGUAUGUAAUGGAGUUAUGUAUGUUUUGGAAUUUCAGAUCAGAUUCGGAAUAUUAAAUAAUUCCAAUUCCUAUCCAAUUUUUUUCCUUCUUGGAUUUUGGAAUUUUGGUUUUGGAUUUGUAUCCGACGGAAUAUUUUGAAAUACUUCUGCUCACAAUCGGUCGGAAUCAAAUAUUCCUAUCCAAGUUGCACCCAUCCUCUCUCGUGAAAUAUCUUCUUCUUCAAAACCCCAAUAUGUUUCGUAUAUUGGGAAUUAUUAAAAUUUUAAGGUACGUCAUAGUUUCGAUCCAAAUUAUUUCAGAAUAAUGAGUAGGAUUCAUCAGUUUCAUUACUGAUGAUUGUAGGAUCUAUAUAGUAUAUUAAUAUAAAUCACUGUUGACCCUAAAAACUACUAAGCCUACGUGGCGCGCAUGCCGAGUAACUAAUAAGCUAACUACGUCAUUCGGUUGUUUGCGGGGCGUGCCAACUCGUCAGUCAAGCUCGGCCGAGGAGUAAAAUUUGCUGAUGUUGCGUUGGGUGCGCUGCUGACUUCUCGAUCUUGCGACUACGGCCGAGGAAUGAACACUCGGCCUUCGGGUCCUAGAGCUUGAAGACAAGGCUACUAGUUCUGCGAAGUUAACAAAUUGUCAGCACCAGAUUUGAUCAUAGUGAUUAUAUUCGUAAGGGUAUAAGCACGCCGAAUCGACACCAGAGUAUAGGGACACAAUUAUUCAAAAAAAAUAUAUGCCUUGACUAUGAAAGUGGUUCGGCCGUCAGAAUGCCGAACUCUAAAGCCUACUUGCGAAUAACCAAUCAUAAAUAACUCGACGUUCAAUGUACCAAGCCUAAUAAAUCGUAACACCUCGCUUCGCCGAAAAGGCUAACGAGAUAACUUCUGUCAAUAAGGAGUCGAAAAUCCUUCUCGAUCGAGACUUGGAUAGAUAACCAGUCGGCCCUGUCGCAGUGCUGUUUAUCCAAACUGAAGGUGUUUCACGAUCGGCUGAUUCUACAGCAACAAUGUUGUUUAUCCAAACUGAAGAUGUUCGUCGGUUGCCUUCACAGUGUUGUUUAUCCAAACUAAAGAUGUGUUGGUGAAAAGGAAAACAAAAAUCUCAAGGUUGUUGAGAGGUUUCGCGUAGAGCGAGGGUUUGCGCAGGGGAGUUUGUGUGUUGAAUUCAAGAGAGCUUUGUUCGAUGUCCUCUCUCCCUAUUUUUAGUAGUGUUGUAUUGAAUCCCAAUUAUUCUCGGAUUAGAACUCAUUUCCCCGAUCCAACCUUAUCUCGGCCAAUCCUACUCCUACUAGGAUUCUAAACUCAACCCGUUAUUAGGCCACAUUCAAUCUUAAACCUCUUAUCCUAUCAAGACUCCUUCUCGUAAUAUGACUCACCCGCAUCCCCCAGAUUCCUAAUGGGAUACGGUCAAUCAUGACUACGCGGCCCAUGAGCCGGAUAACCUCCCGACGACUCCUACGCACGGCCUCUGAGCCGAGAACAAUUCUAAACUCGUCCCAAACCAAUAUUUUUGGGCCCAAACAAUCACCAAUAAUUAAUCCAUCCAAAUUAGGGUGUUUUGUUGUUGGAGUCUUUUGCCCCACAUCGACCGUUUUGAUCUUUUUCUCAUCCCUUCCUAACCACUAUAUAACGAGAACUUAAGGGAAAGGAGGAGACACACCCAGUGAAACAUUUCUCUUAGCUUUAUAGAGGAGAGGUCAAUAAUCUUUUUCUUUCUUAGUUUAGCCUCUAGGGUAUCACCUUGGCCCUAGACUUAGAAAGCUACUAAGAAUUACAACGGUUUGAACCUUGUGCAUUGGCACAAACUACGUAGGAAAUCAAGCCAGGCUAGAUGCAACCGAAUCCUUCCUUUGGUGAAUCUUGUUUGUGGUUCUUGUAACGGUUUGUAGAAACGAGACGGCAAUCCAGAAUUCGUUAAUUCCUCUAGGUAUAAUCCUAAUCAAAUUCCUUUAGAUUACUUGUAUAUAUCCAACGGUGGUAUCAGAGCCAUAGGGCUUGUUCCUCGCCUUACAAUCCGAUGUAAGUAGCGGAAACCAUGAUAUCCACCAUGAUUGCAUAAACCCGGAAAAAUCACAUUUUGAUUUAUCGUGUUUUUUGAGGAUUUCUUUUGAGAAAUAAGUUCUCCAAUGUGUGAGACUCAUACUCUCAAAAUUUUAUGCAAUGACGUGCCACAGUUUGACAGAAAUCACAAACCCUAGUUUUGUGAUUUCUUGAAAAUUUUAGCUUAUUUUCAGCCCUUUGGGGGGCUGAAUUUAGGGUACAUGGUGUUGAUAUUUUCUGUACGUUUUGCAUGGGGCUUGUGGUUUUCUAUUUGAGCUUCAAGACCAUAUAAAAUACACGUCAUUUGGAUGAGUAUAGAAGAAGAAAUGGCUUUGCUACUGCCUACGUAAAUUUUUGAAAUCUGGGAUUUCAGCAAAAAGUUUGAAAAAAAAAAAAGUGAUUUUAUUUUAGUUUUGCGAGCUAUUUUUCAUGCUGUUAGAGUUAGGUUUUCGAAUGUUAUCCAGCAAUGGAGUGCGAGACUAAACACUUGUACGGUUUCACUUACAAAGCAUAUACUAGAUAUGCAUGUAUGUCGCUUUAGAAUGUCUAAGAUGAGACCUAUCAAAGGUCGAACAUGGAGAUUUUUUCAUUUGAAAUCCAUAUUAAAACUUGUCAAGCCGAACGUGAGUAACUAGGUGGGCGUCGAAAGGGAGACUAGGCUAGAUGCUCAAGUUAAACGUUUGUGUAGCGCUUAGACUAAGAUCAAUAUGGUGUAUGUCCAAUGAACAUGUGACACGCUCAUUAAAUUGAGAACAUACCAUAGCAUACAUUUCAUACUGUAUGUGCUAGUUGCGGCUGAUAGUGAGAGUGACGAAUUGAUCUCUGCUUCAAGUCACUAUGUGACCUACUGAAUCUAUGUGAUCCUACCCUUAAUACCCUUUGGAUUAAAGCUUACAUCAAAAAGAUGAGAUUUGAUGAUCGCUACUUUUGCACAUUUAUCUAAGAUGGUCAAGUUAGCUAUUAUCCCAAGAAGCGUGUCUAGGCAAGUAGUUAAACCAAGUUGGACUGAGGAAGAUAGUUUGAAGACUACAUUAUAUCAUGUGAAUCAUUGGCUGCCCAGCGUCUAUUUGAUGUUUGUUAUCAAAUGUAAGACAUGGAUACAUGAUACUUGUGGAACAUGACGUUGAUUUUUAUAUCAUAAACAAGGAAUAAAGAAUGUCAAGUUUGGUACGUAUAACGAACUGUCUGGGGUAUAAAGCGAUGAACUUAGGAGUGAUACACUCUUGUUAAGUUUGGUGAUAGUUUAAUGGCAGCUCUCCUGGAUAUAUACGUUCGUUCUCGCAAGUUGUCGAGCGCCCUAAAUCCCAUAUGAAGAGGUAAACUGUAACAACUGAGAAUUGGAUGAGCCAAUUGAGUUGAUGCGAAAUUGUAAUGGACAAAGUAACGAACAGCGCUGCUUCACUGUAUAUUCCUCAUCAUCUCCCCCCGGCUCUUGCUCUUAAUUAGGAAUGUACACAAUAUUGCUAAGGUUAAUAAUUAGUGAUUAUUUCAGGUAAUUAGAUGGAAAUUGCAAGCACGACUUGACAUUGGCUCUUUGACCCCAGAGUCAAGCAUACUGUGUGAUUCAUGAAUACCCCAAUAUAUUUCAGAUAUCAUAAAUAAUUAGAAUUUUAAGAUACUUCCCAAUCCCGAUCCAAAUUAUGUCCGAAUUAUGAAGGUCAAAUACCAUUCGAUUGCAUCAAAGUUGAAAAUUUUCACCUGGAGCUUUGGUCAGAAGUGGUUAAAAUCGAAAUUUCCAAUCCAUCUUACACUUGUUUUAAAUAAUCUGUUGGCUUGGACUUUCAAGGCCAACACCGGUUAAAAUCGAAAUUUCCAAUCCAUCUUGCACUUGUUUUAAAUAAUCUAUUGGCUUGGACUUUCAAGGCCAAUAACGGUUAAAAUCGAAAUUUUCAAUCUAGAAAUCCAUCUUGCACUUGUUUUAAAUAAGGGAGUUUUAACGAAAAACCCGCGGUACUGUUCAUUCUAACGAAAAAUCACAUUUUUACACUAAAAAGUCAAACAUGAUACUAUUUACUUUACCCUUUAUUUUGUCAUUAUCAUUAAAACCCAAAGUUUUUAAACUCUUUUCAUUAGUUUCUAUUGGCUUGGAUUUUAAGGCCAACACUCAAUGUUCAUGUUUUUUUUUUUUUAAAGGAAGACAACGUAACAAACUAUUGUAAUCUACCUUUUUAAGUUCGAGAAGACUCAUGUAGAACCCAUCACCUAAUGUUGGUCCAACGCAAAUCGCAAAUCUAGACCGACAAAACUGCCCUCCUUUACAAAAGCCCUUACGGUCAAACACGGUGGAUAUUUCGGUUCAAAAUAAACGGGCAGCAAGUUUUCAAAAAAAUAAAAAAAUAAACGGGCAGCAGUGCGCGCUUUCCCUCCUCGGACCUCAGUUAAUGGCAAGCGCUCUUAGAAGACUUGCAGCUGCAUUCUGCUACCCGUCACAUCUCCAAUUCGUCCGAAGCUUGUCUCCGUUGCGCUUUGGAAAUAGUCACCGUUCCUUCGUGUCUUCGGCUUUGUCUGGUAUGCCCCGAACCUGCUUGUGAAAAUGUCUCUUAGACAGCACCUAUUUUGUCAUUAACUGCCAUUUCUGCACUUGCUCUGUAUUUCAAGAUCAGAGGACUGUCCUCCAACUGGUCAUCCGGAAUUCCGACAAUAGAGAGAGAACGAGAGGGAGUGAGAUGUAGCUGAGCUGAGCUGUUGAAGGCGUACUAGUUAUUAAAAUUCUUUUUAUUAUUUAUCCUAGUAUUAAUUAAAGUUUGUAUAAUUUUUUUUUUUUUUGGGAAACCUAAAGUUUGUAUAAUUAAUCCUACAUAAAGAUACCAGAAAAUUAGAACAUCGAUCCCUAAAUGGGCCACAAUGUAGCAAUGGUUCUUUUGAGUAAACACUGUUUUAUAAUACCCUCCAAAAUAAAGGGCUUAAAGGAGAAAAUAUGGACGGAAUUAUUCUCCAAAAUAAAAGGUUAAAGAGGACAAUAUGAACGGAAUUAAUAGAGUUACAAAAAAUGAUCAUUGUUACAGAUUGUAACAAGUUAUAGGACCAAUAUUCUAAUUAACUUGAAACAUAUAAGUAUGUAAUAUAACAUCACUCAAGUCAUACUGGUAGUAAUAUACAGUAUAUGUUAUUAAAAAUUCUGGAGAUUCGAGAUUAGGGAGUGCAUGGUAACUAACAUUUACCCUAUAAAAAUGACAAGGUGAAAGAAAAGCUGUAAAGAUUAUAGAAUUGUCUCUAGUGCAGUAAAGUGCCUUUAACGGAAGUGCUUCCAAUGAUAUUAACCUUAUUGUCAUCGGUCUCAACGAGGAACAUCGAUAGAAAUCGUCAAACCAUUGGCUGAGCAAUCUUGAGCUCGCACUUGAUCAUGGUGAUCAACAUAUCUCCCUGUAAAGAAGGCUGGUUUCUCAGGUCUGGAAAGACAAAUAGUUUCAGUUUUUAACAUAUGAACAACUGAUGACAUGGUCGGCCUGUUGUUUGCAUCCUCUUGAACACACAAUAAUCCAAUGUGGAUGUACCUCAAAAAUUCAUUUGGACUGCAUGAAUCUUAUAACAAGGGAUCCAUCAACUCCAAACCUUUCGUUUCAUUCCAUAAUUGCCAAGCCUGCAAUCAAUAUCUCUCAAGGAUGUAAGUCCUCCUCCAGUUUUGAUAGCUACAUUAAUUAAGCUCACGAAUAUUUUGUAUAAGUAUUCCAAGUAAAGAACUUACAUAACCUAUAAGAGUAGGCCCACAAUUAGUGCGAUGAAAGCCUAAAAAGUUCCUUCUCCCCGUUAUGAUCUCAAGCAGAAGUACUCCGAAGCUGAAGACAUCCGAUUUUACUGAAUACAAUCCUUCCAUAGCAUAUUCUGGAGCCAUGUAACCACUAAUUGCAGGACCAAAAUGGUUGACAUAUAUAAGAGUUUAAAUAACAAACAUAUACUAUUCUGUUAUCUAUUUAUAGAUAGAGGUAAGUACAUAAGUUGAAACAAAUAAUUGGAAGAUGUAUUUAUAUAAGUUGAAACUUACUAAGUGCCAACAAUUCUUUUGGUAUUUCCUUCAGUUUGAUCAUCAACUCCAAACAUUCUAGCCAUCCCAAAAUCUGAUAUUUUCGGGUUCAUAUUGUUGUCUAAUAAAAUGUUGCUAACUUUCAAAUCACGAUGUAUAACUCUAAGCCUCGAAUCUUCAUGGAGAUACAAAAUUCCUCGAGCAAUUCCUCCGAUUAUCAUGGUGCGGCUCAACCAAUCUAGUUGUUCUCGUUUUUUAUGUUCUGUAAAUUUAUCAAGUUCAAGUAGUACUUUAUGAAGUUAGGAACUACAAAGUAUUAUAUUUACUGACACAAACAUAUAUGUAUAUUCAUCAAAUGAUGUUCACAUACCAAAUAGAAAAUAAUCAAGGCUUUUGUUGGGCACACAUUCAUAAACAAGUAAGGUUUCUUCUCCUUCCAAGCAAAAACCUAAAAGCCUGACAAGAUUUCUGUGUUGAAGCUUGGCUACCAAUACAACCUCAUUCUUAAAUUCUUGUACACCUUGUCCGGAGCUUUUUGACAACCUCUUUACUGCUAUUUCUUGUCCAUUAAUAAGCAUUCCCUGUGAUAAGAUAUAUAGGUACUUUAGUUUAUCCAACAAUUUUGUUGUGAUCUAAGCAAUUUAUAUAUACUAUACAAUGUUGUAUUAGUAGAAUGACUCAUGAACUAAUGCAUUAUAUAUUUGUUGGGUUAUUACCUUAAAAACUGCACCGAAUCCACCUUCGCCUAACUUGUUAUCUUCGGAAAACUUAUUUGUGGCAGUUUCGAGAGUUCCCAAAUCAAAUUGCAAGGACUCAGCCGUCCUCAUAUCUUUUGCAUUGCAAAGAAGGUUAUGAUCAUAUGCCAGACACAUCAAAAUAAAUUCAAAAUUUUCAGUUCUAACUUUUGGGUUUCAUUUGUUUUCCCUUACCUUGCCGUUUGCCAUUUUCUUGUUGUAGAGCCUCAUCGUUCUUCUUUCUUUCUCUUCUGCCCGGGAGGCAGUAGCCCAAUGCUACAAGGACCAGAGAGACAACUAGAAGAGAAAUGACAACACUCACGAGAACAAUGAUAGUUAUAGAGAAGUGUUUCUUUCUCCCUGCAGUAAGAACAAUAUUGAAUUUUCUUGUCAUAAAGCUCUUUUUGUACUUUUAAACUCGCAAUUUCCAUCGAUUAAUUUAGUUAGUUGAACAUGGAAAAAUACAAAUGAUAGUUUUCUCAUACCUUUCUUCUUCUUCAUUCAUCAAAACAAAAACAAUUAAUAUGUCAUGUUUGUUUUCUGAAUACUGUAUUCUUCCCCUUUAUAAUAUACUUUUUCUUAUCCACUAAUUAUCUAUCUAAUGGCCGAUAAGAUCAUAGGUCCUAUGUAUAUCUAAAUCUUGAUUUAAAAAUAUAAAAAAAAAUGAAUUAACGGGAGAACUGUUAUUAGUAUUCUUAUCAUUAAACACUACAACUGAUGGCGUAAAUCUUUUUUACGUGCACAAGGUACUUUACCUAUAGGUAAUCGCAAAUUUGGUAGUAGAGUACUCGGAGGAGGAAGAGCCUCUGGCGUGGGAGGAUGCUGUGCGUGGGUCCAAUUGAUGGCGUAAAAGAGGGUAUUAUCCAACCGAAUACUACAACUGGGAUAUAGGACUUGUCUCCCUCGGAAUUCGGAUUGAACUAAUAUUUUUUCUGCAGCUCUUGCUAGACACCGUUUGCAAUUUGAAGCGGAGAUGUCUUGCGUGCACUGCGCAAGGCUGUACACCGUCUCAUUUGACCCUUUAACUUUGGCUUCUUUGGUUGCAAAGUACUUGCUGUUAUUGGCAGCCUCAGUGGUUAGCUCAUGCACACUAGUUGCCAAUACCUGGCUAUAUCCGCUUGGUUCUUUUUCAGUAGACCCGUAGAAUUGGCCAUGGGAAGACGACUCGUUCAUGGAGAAAACUAAUUUCUUAUUUGAGUAGCGUACCAUGCACUCGUCGUUCCAUAUCAUAGCAUCUGUUCCAUCAAGGCAGAGUUGUACUGCCUCCAGGUUUGCGAAGGUCAUGCACUCUCUGCAAACGUCGGUAGAGACAUCACCGCGACAUAGAAACAUCCCAUAGGCCUGUUCAGUUGUGCUUCGGCCAGCGGUGGUAGUGUAAAAGCCGGUGUCAGUAUGUGUGGCGUUCAAGGAAAGGGAUUGGAGAAGCUGAACGAGAUUAUAUGGGUAGCUAUCGGGGUUCGAUUCGACUGCUUCGGCGAGGGUGGAAGUGGUAUUGUCUGGGCAGGCGACGGACCAACAAAGUGCUUCCCUACUGUCACUACUAGUGAUCAAACUCAUGAGAAACAGAAAAAGGAUCGUAGACAUAUUCCUCGUCGUCUCCCCCUUCUCUUAAUUCCAGAUGUUGAUCAUAUAUUUUUAAGUUUAACAAUUAGUGAUUAUUUGAGGUAAUUAGAUGGCAAUUGCAGAUUUGCAGGCAUGGCUCGCUGACCCUCGAGUCAACCAUACUGUGUGAUUCAUGAGAAAACAUGCAAGGGGAGCAACAAAGUCAAACGUAGCACAAGAUUAGCUUUGGCUUCCGGAUGCAUCGAAAUGCAUGAAAGGGAUUCGGAUUUCCUCCUCCUAAUUCAUUAAAUUCAUCAAUCCGAAUUACUAAAAUUUGAUUCAACGAUUAAAUUUAUUAUAAUUUUUAAAAUAAAUCUUUAUUUAUAACUGUUUGAUCAAAUUUCAAUACUCAGAAUUCUCAAAUUUUGAAUUAAAAUGAAGGAAUUCGGAAAGUAUACCUUUCCGAAAUGUAUGUGCUAAUUACAGUGCGAUUAAGCAUCAAUGUCGGUCAGUGUGAAUAGUCACAAUUUUUUAGGAAAGUGAAAAGCAGGCCGUGCUUUGGUGGGGUAGGGCUGCAGUUCGGUUUUUAUCCUAUCCGGCGUUUCCAUCAAUUUUGACGCAGCGUCUUAGAAAUUGAUUCUUUGGAUUUGGAACUUUAAAUAUGAUUUGAAUUAUAAAAUCAAAUGGUAGGUGGAUGAGGAGGAGGA